RNAcentral lists this ribosomal RNA (253 nucleotides) under uncultured bacterium. RNAcentral's name for it is "partial 16S ribosomal RNA". It matches the Rfam family "Bacterial small subunit ribosomal RNA", at positions 524 to 776 of the family's 1533-position model. The record is from RNAcentral.
UACGUAGGGGGCUAGCGUUGUCCGGAAUCAUUGGGCGUAAAGCGCGUGUAGGCGGCUGGGUAGGUCCGUUGUGAAAACUCGAGGCUCAACCUCGAGAGGUCGGUGGAAACCGUCUGGCUAGAGUCCGGAAGAGGAGAGUGGAAUUCCCGGUGUAGCGGUGAAAUGCGCAGAUAUCGGGAAGAACACCCGUGGCGAAGGCGGCUCUCUGGGACGGUACUGACGCUGAGACGCGAAAGCGUGGGGAGCGAACAGG